GUUUAAUUAGUAUAACUAGUACAUUUAAUUUCCAAUUAAAAAGAUUUUUUAAAAUUAAACA
RNAcentral lists this transfer RNA (61 nucleotides) under Ixodes ovatus. RNAcentral describes it as "tRNA-Gly". The record is from RNAcentral. Lineage: Eukaryota; Metazoa; Arthropoda; Arachnida; Ixodida; Ixodidae.